AACGAACGCUGGCGGCAUGCCUAACACAUGCAAGUCGAACGAUGCCUUCGGGCAUAGUGGCGCACGGGUGCGUAACGCGUGGGAAUCUGCCCUUCGGUUCGGAACAACAGUUAGAAAUGACUGCUAAUACCGGAUGAUGACGUAAGUCCAAAGAUUUAUCGCCGAAGGAUGAGCCCGCGUAGGAUUAGCUAGUUGGUGGGGUAAAGGCCCACCAAGGCGACGAUCCUUAGCUGGUCUGAGAGGAUGAUCAGCCACACUGGGACUGAGACACGGCCCAGACUCCUACGGGAGGCAGCAGUGGGGAAUAUUGGACAAUGGGCGAAAGCCUGAUCCAGCAAUGCCGCGUGAGUGAUGAAGGCCUUAGGGUUGUAAAGCUCUUUUACCCGGGAUGAUAAUGACAGUACCGGGAGAAUAAGCUCUGGCUAACUCCGUGCCAGCCGCCGCCGUAA
RNAcentral lists this ribosomal RNA (449 nucleotides) under uncultured bacterium. RNAcentral's name for it is "partial 16S ribosomal RNA". It matches the Rfam family "Bacterial small subunit ribosomal RNA", at positions 29 to 523 of the family's 1533-position model. The record is from RNAcentral.